This 705-nucleotide ribosomal RNA is filed under the name Erythricium atropatanum. RNAcentral describes it as "eukaryotic LSU rRNA". The stretch from base 185 to 338 matches the Rfam family "5.8S ribosomal RNA". Lineage: Eukaryota; Fungi; Basidiomycota; Agaricomycetes; Corticiales; Corticiaceae. The record is from RNAcentral.
CAUUAAUGAGUUUGAUAUGGGGUUUUGAAGCUGGCCUUCCGAGGCAAGUGCUCACCCCUAUUCAUCCAAUUAACCCCUGUGCACCUUUGUGGCGGGUAAGAUCCGAAAGGGUCGAGCCAGCUGCAUAUUUCAUUACAUACAUUGUAGUUCUGAAUGUCUAUUGCAAUUAUAAUGCAUUAAAUACAACUUUCAACAACGGAUCUCUUGGCUCUCGCAUCGAUGAAGAACGCAGCGAAAUGCGAUAAGUAAUGUGAAUUGCAGAAUUCAGUGAAUCAUCGAAUCUUUGAACGCACCUUGCGCUCCUUGGUAUUCCGAGGAGCAUGCCUGUUUGAGUGUCAUGAAUAUCUCAGNCCGAAAGUUGAAUUUUUGAAAUACAACUGAGGGUUGGACUUGGAGGUAUUGCUGGCCUAGAGUCAGCUCCUCUCUAAAUGUAUUAGCAAAAUCUUUCAAGAUGUAGCUCAGUGUGAUAAAUUAUCUUACAUUGUGCAUAUGCGUCUUGCUUGUGCUACCCUGCCUCUAGUGCGGAUGUGUGGCAAAAGAUUGAGCUUCUAACUGUCAUUAGACAAUUUAAUUGACAUCUGACCUCAAAUCAGGNAGGACUACCCGCUGAACUUAAGCAUAUCAAUAAGCGGAGGAAAAGAAACUAACAAGGAUUCCCCUAGUAACUGCGAGUGAAGCGGGAAAAGCUCAAAUUUAAAAUCUUCC